AGAUUGAACGCUGGCGGCAGGCCUAACACAUGCAAGUCGAGCGGCAGCACGGGUACUUGUACCUGGUGGCGAGCGGCGGACGGGUGAGUAAUGCCUAGGAAUCUGCCUGGUAGUGGGGGAUAACGCUCGGAAACGGACGCUAAUACCGCAUACGUCCUACGGGAGAAAGCAGGGGACCUUCGGGCCUUGCGCUAUCAGAUGAGCCUAGGUCGGAUUAGCUAGUUGGUGAGGUAAUGGCUCACCAAGGCGACGAUCCGUAACUGGUCUGAGAGGAUGAUCAGUCACACUGGAACUGAGACACGGUCCAGACUCCGUACGGGAGCAGCAGGUGGGGAAUAGUUGGACAAGUGGGGCAAAGCCUG
RNAcentral lists this ribosomal RNA (362 nucleotides) under uncultured soil bacterium. RNAcentral's name for it is "bacterial SSU rRNA". It matches the Rfam family "Bacterial small subunit ribosomal RNA", at positions 26 to 385 of the family's 1533-position model. The record is from RNAcentral.